AACGCACCUUGCGCCCUUUGGCCAUUCCGAAGGGCAUUGCCUGUUGAGUAUCAUGAACACCUCAACUCUUGCGGUUCGCCACAACGAGCUUGGGACUUUGGAGGCUUUGCCGGUCUGCGGUCGGCUCCUCUCAAAUGAAUCAGCUGCCGGUGCAUUGGUGGCGUCGCAGGUGUGAUAACUAUCUACGCUUGUGGUCGUUUGCCAGAAAACCUCCAGCGUCGUUGGAGGUUCGCUGGGGCUCAUAAACGUCUCCCGAGCGGAGACAGCCUUCUGAACGUUUGAUCUCAAAUCAGGUAGGACUACCCGCUGAACUUAA
RNAcentral lists this ribosomal RNA (316 nucleotides) under uncultured Tomentella. RNAcentral's name for it is "eukaryotic LSU rRNA". Lineage: Eukaryota; Fungi; Basidiomycota; Agaricomycetes; Thelephorales; Thelephoraceae. The record is from RNAcentral.